GACAGGGGAAUUUGUCUUCUUUUGUGAUAAUUGGGCACGAUUUGGCCCAUUAAUGGCGUAGUGGAGAAUAAGGCCGAAUCAUACCGGAGUCAGGGAGUUGUCACGGUUGAUCGGACCCGUUGGGGUGGUUGAACCGCCGGCCGUGGUGGGCCUGGGGUUUGUAGAUGGCAGGCGCAUUGAUUGCUGAGUGAACCGGCGGUCAGGGAGAGCCAUACGCUUUGAUGGUUCAGUGAUCCGGAGAUCAUCUUGAGCCGUGUUCAUUUAAUGACUGAGUGCAUCGGAGGCUUGAGGG
This 292-nucleotide long non-coding RNA is filed under the name Phoenix dactylifera (date palm). RNAcentral describes it as "long non-coding RNA (PDAC_LNC015759)". The record is from RNAcentral. Lineage: Eukaryota; Viridiplantae; Streptophyta; Magnoliopsida; Arecales; Arecaceae.